This 443-nucleotide long non-coding RNA is filed under the name Arachis ipaensis. RNAcentral describes it as "long non-coding RNA (AIPA_LNC000126)". The record is from RNAcentral. Lineage: Eukaryota; Viridiplantae; Streptophyta; Magnoliopsida; Fabales; Fabaceae.
AAACCCUAAUUUCCCAAAUUGGAAACCCUGACCCGGUACCCGUUUCCCCUCCCUAAACCAGCAGCAGCAGCUGCUGCCCUCUAACCUAAACACACACACACAGCCGCAGCCUUCCCCCAAUUCAACCAGCAGCAACAGCUGCGAAAAUGGAAGAAAGAAAGAAAUAGAGAGGGAAGGGAGAAAUGGAUCCGUAGAGGAGAAGAAGGAGAGGAGGGGAGGAAAGGGAUUGCGCCACGUGCUGGGCUUCUCCGCCAUCGCGCCACACUGCCUCACCACUGCCGCGCCACACUGCCUCACCACUGCCGCGCGAGGAGGAAAGGGAGCCAUUGCGCUCUACCACCGCGAGCUCCGUCGCACCCUGCAUCGCCGAGGGUUUCAUUCUUGUCAGAUCCGUCGCCGUCCAGACGUCACCCUCACCGCGUCGCGCCAUCACUGUAUCCNNN